This 348-nucleotide unclassified non-coding RNA is filed under the name soil metagenome. RNAcentral's name for it is "partial contains 5.8S ribosomal RNA, internal transcribed spacer 2, and large subunit ribosomal RNA". The stretch from base 1 to 120 matches the Rfam family "5.8S ribosomal RNA", at positions 35 to 154 of the family's 154-position model. The record is from RNAcentral.
GAUGAAGAACGUAGCGAAAUGCGAUAAGUAAUGCGAAUUGCAGAAUUCAGUGAAUCAUCGAAUCUUUGAACGCACAUUGCGCCCGCCAGUAUUCUGGCGGGCAUGCCUGUCUGAGCGUCAUUUCAACCCUCAUGCCCCUAGGGCGUGGUGUUGGGGAUCGGCCAGCGCCCGCGAGGGACGGCCGGCCCCUAAAUCUAGUGGCGGACCCGUCGUGGCCUCCCCUGCGAAGUAGUGAUAUUCCGCAUAGGAGAGCGACGAGCCCCUGCCGUUAAACCCCCAACUUUCUAAGGUUGACCUCAGAUCAGGUAGGAAUACCCGCUGAACUUAAGCAUAUCAAUAAGCGGAGGA